GCCUGGGUGGCUCAGGAGGUUAAGCAUCUGACUUCGGCUCAGGUCAUGAGCUCGUGGCUCGUGGGUUCAAGCCCCAUGUCGGGCU
RNAcentral lists this transfer RNA (85 nucleotides) under Felis catus (domestic cat). It matches the Rfam family "tRNA". Rfam says of the family: Transfer RNA (tRNA) molecules are approximately 80 nucleotides in length. Lineage: Eukaryota; Metazoa; Chordata; Mammalia; Carnivora; Felidae. The record is from Rfam by way of RNAcentral.